Molecule: long non-coding RNA, 5082 nt
Organism: Capsicum annuum
Lineage: Eukaryota; Viridiplantae; Streptophyta; Magnoliopsida; Solanales; Solanaceae
Exons: 4
Source: RefSeq, a predicted model, not a curated record
UUGAGGUUUUUUUAAAAAAAGAUUUUUUCUUUAUUAAUAAUUUUUGGGGCCCUCAUGCCACUUUGCAUCUUUUUAUUUGGAAUUUAGUAAAAAAAAUACUCUUCACGCGCCCCUAGCGUUUGUAUAGCAGGCGGUAUGCCAUGUAGGCAAAAAAGGCCCAAUUGGAACAAAAUUCGGGGGAUUAAGCGUCUGAUAGGUACAGGUCAUAGUUGAGGGGUCUAAGUGAAUUUUCAAAACAAGUUUGACUGCCUGUCGAUGACUUUGGCCUAAAAAGAAUCAGUAUAACUAUGCCUUAUGGUAGUAGGCUUGUUAGACCUCAUUUAGAGUUUGGAAUUGCCUUAAUUAUGUGUUUGCCAAAUUUGAUUUUUGUCUUUUCAUUUGAAAGGUGUGCGAAUUAGGCUAAUUAUGAAUAUGGGAUUAUGACGAUAAUAGUACUGAUUUUGGAACUACCAUUAAGAGAUUGAACUUGCUAGUAUUUGUUGCUUGUAGAAGUCACAUGAACAUUACACAAGUGUGUAGGGAAGGAGAACUUAAUAAGAACCAAACACUUUGUUUUUAGGUAGAUCAACAGCAGCACACUCGCUAAGCUUUAAUUACAUUGUUCGAAUCAAGCACCUUAAUUUAAGGUUGGUUAGUUAAUAAAUUAUAUUCCCAGCUUUUGUCGUCUAAUGUACGUUUAGUUAUAUGUUACUUUACUGGACAUAAAAGUAGUCGAUCUUGACUUCACAAGAUGCAAAUCUACUUGUAUAUUCCUCUCCAAUAGUAAUAUUAAUUGUACUUUAAGGAUGUCCUUGUGUUAAUCUAGUUUAUAUGUUAGUUUUUUUUUUCCCAUUUAUUAAUGGCUAUAUUUGUACUCGCUGAUUUUUAGUUUUCUUCUGGAGUAGUGUUUAGGGAUAAGGAGUGCGGUUAUGUGGUCGCUUAAAUUACAAAGACUUCUUUAUGAUCUUGAAAAUAAUCUUAUAGGUAGUUUAUUGUUCUUGGUGUUUUGAUAAUCUUUACACGUACUUUGGUGGAAAAUUAGUUAAAGUAUGGCUUCCCUUGGACCAUCUUAGAAUUGUUAUAUGUUGACAACCUACUUAUUUGAGAGUUUUAGAUUGCUUCUCUGUAAUUUACUACGAAUAUAGCAUAGGAAUAUAUACCAUUUGUAACAAGUCAUUCUUAGUAAUAUGCCAACAAGUUUGAAAAAAAAUUGUCGUUCAUGCCAUCUGGAACUGCUGCAAAAUGAGGGCUCACAGAGAACACCACAGUUUUUAGCUCUUUUAAGGUAGGGUCUUAUUGGAGAAUGUUAUUCUGAUUAUCAGUCACCAACUUGGUAAUAUAGUUGAGGAAUUCUUCUGGAACAACCUCCUCUUUUCCAGUAAAAAUCCCUUGAAAAUGGUCACAAGCUGCAACAGCUAUAUCACUAUCAACCUGUACCCAUUCACCUUCAUCAUUCUUGACUUUAUGUAUGAAUAACUUUCUCCUUUUUCCUCGAUUAAUGCAUGAAAGUGUCUAGAAUUAGCAUCACCAUCCUUAAACCCUUGAAGUUGAGCUUUUUGCUUGAGAAUAAACUGUUCAAGUUUCAGAAAUCUAAUGUAUUCAGCAUUCAAAUGAUGAAAAUUGAUCCUAUUAUGGUUAGAGUUAUUAAAAAUUAGCUCAGCUUCAACAUUUUUAACCUUCUCUUCAUACGCCCUAACUUUAGCGUAAGUGUCACCAAAUUCAUUCUUGGGUCAAUGAAUAAGAGUGUUGUCCAGACUUUUUAUUUUCUGACGAAAAGACCACAUAGGAUCUCCCUCACAAGGCUUGUUCCAUAAAUUCUCAACACUUUUUAGGAAAGUCUUGUUCUCCACCCAACAAUUGAACAAUUUGAAAUAGUUGAUGUGAUUUUCUUGUCUAUCCUACAUUUCAAAAAAAAUGGGACAAUGUUCUGAACCCACAGAUGAAAGAUGAGUAUUGGUAGUGAGGGGCAUAUUCUCUAGACAACCAUAUGUGACUAAAGCUCUAUCCAAUAUCUUUCAAAUUCUGAAAUUUAUACCACUCAAAUUAGACCAGGUAACUUCUGACCACUAAAGCCAAUAACUAAGAGACCACAAGCCUCAAUAGAUUGACAAGUAGUGGUAGUAAAGCCAUGGUGGUUUUUCUUAUCCACUUCAUUUUAGUAGUCGUAACAUUACUCCUCUGGUUUCGUGUAACUAGAGUUUUAUUACUAUCUCCCACUUUUUAUAAUUUGAUUGUCAUAUUCUUUUUGUAGUUACUUUUGAGAAUGUUUGCUCAUAUUUUCUAUAGUAUUUUACUGUGGUUUCUGCAAUUUUGUUAUUUCCUUUUUCGGGUUGCUUUGAACUAUUUUUUUCUUGAGUCGGGUGUCUUUUGGAAGAAUCCUUUCUACCUCUUAGCUAGGGGUAUGGUCUGGGUACACCUACUCUACCUAGACCCCACUUUGUGGGCUUACACUGGGUAAGUUAUUGUUGUGAUGUGCAAUGUACUACUACUUGUGUUAAAGAUGAUAGUUGGAAGCUGACAUUGACAUAACUAUGGUGUCUGAGCCAACUUACAUGGACCUCAAUUAGUUUCUUAGGGUAAGUCUACCUUAACAAGUAGCUUUGACAUUUGGACUUUUAAAUUAUGCAUAUGAAGUUUAAAGUGCCUGCCAACAUGAUCCAUGCUCUUAGUUGUGAUUCCAAUUCUGCCAGUUUCUUUAUGGGGAGUUAUCUAAGGUACAAGUAGCGACUUAUGAGAUUUCACUGGGGUUGCUGUUAUUGUUGUUGUAGUAGCGACUUUAUCUAAGUCGAGGGGAAUUUUAGAAUAGCUUUUUCGCGACACUAUGGGAAUUUUAGAAUUUUCACUGGAAGACAUAAAUGCAAGCUUUUACCUUGUCAGAUGUAAUGCUGUUCUGAACAAAGCUACACACAAACAAGGGGAGAAGUAGGCUAAGAUGACCAAAUUAUAUAAUGGAAUAUGCUUGUUCUUAGUAUUAAUCUGUGUAAUCUGGGCGCCCAUGCUGGUAAGUGGUUUGUGAACUGAUCUUCAGAUAUUUGUGGUAUACAAUUUGCAACUCUAAGAUUUUCAUUCAGAAGUAUACAGUAGUAGUUUUCAUUAAACAGAUUACAUAUUCUAAAGAACAUUAUCAUGUCUUUAUUAAAUCAUUAUACCACUGAAAUGGAAUAAAGAAAAUAUGGGAAUUAGCAAAUCCAAAUCAGUGCUUGCAUGCUUGGCUAGUGUGUGAGUAUUAUAUCUACAAUUCCCCUCAAUAUCACCGAACAAAUAGUAGACUUCUCCUCACAUUUUUUCUUUCUUUUGUCGGACAUUGGAGAAGUUCAUGCAUAUGUUUCACGUCAGUCCUACACAACAAAGAGUUUUCGUAACUGCAUUGGGAAGUUCCCUUUACUACUUCACUUUAGAAUCUGUUUUAUAUCUUUAAAAUUAGGAGAUUUACUAAUAUUAUAUGGGAUAUUCUAAAUGAUUUUAUCAUAAUAAUUAGGAAUCUUAAUUAUCAGGAAACUUCUCAUUUUGUGUAUUAACAACCAAUUUUUUUGGUGUUUUCUCUCUUCUUUUUUCUUUUCUCCUUUUCCACAUGAUAUCAAAGCCUCUAAAUCUUGGUAAAGACUUGUGUAGCUUCCCCCUACUGUGUGCCACUGAUGCUUGUAUCAAGGUAGGCUGCCUAUACCACACCCUUGAGGUAAGUCCUCCCUCGGACCCAACAUGAAUGAAGGAUGCUUUGUGCCCGAGGCUUCCAUUUUAUCAUCUGCACCUCUUUUUGAGUGAUUGUCCUUGCUAUCCUAUGGCGCUCUAGUGAUUGUUUUGGCGGCAUUAUGUCUCUAUUCUACCAUUCUGAUGGAAUUACAGCUCUUACUUGUAUAGAUGAUCAUGCCAUUUUAGUUAUACAGUGUUAUAGAAUCACUUCUUAUCAUCUUAUAUAUGUUAUCUUAGAUGAGUAUCUUGCCUAUUUAUUUAUCAGCUUUUUUGUAUAAUUUUAUUCUCUAAGAAUCUUGUAUAUUCAGUAAAGUUAUCUAUUUCAAAAAAAAAAAAGAAAAAAUCCUGUACAUACAGUACAAUUACUGCUUCUUAAUUAUAGUAAACCAGAGUCAUUCUGCACUAACUAAAGAUUGACAUUAGAUUCUUUUAUUUGUAAAAUUACAUACCAUUUUAUUUUGGAAGCAGGUAGAUGGAACAUACACAUAUAACUCAGAAACUUUAGUUCCCAAAGUAUUUUCACUGGUCUGGUACUUUGAAAUCACUUUUAUGGUUGGAAUAAAAUCCAUUGUUCUAACUAUGCUUGCUUUAUAUUUGGCAACAAUUCUCUCAUGCAAGUUUGUUGAUUGCUUAGUUGCAUCUCGAUAAUUGAAUCCACCUUUGCAGGUUUGGUUCAUGGCUGAGUUCUCUUAUGUAUUUGUUAAUUUUGAUGAGUGACUUGUGCAGACAUUUGCGUAGGAGACUUCAAGCAACUGUUGAAUCAGUUCAAGAGCAAGAGCGGAACUUCAAUCUUACACUUCAAACAUCCAUCCAAGAAUGCUUCCUAGAAACUGCAGAAGGGAUUGUUGAUGUACAACCACUAUUUGAUAUAAUGGCAAUGAUGCUGGAGUAGUUGCAGCCUCUUGAAGUUGUUGCCAGGGCUAUAAUGGGAUCCUUGAUCAUUCUUGCUCAUAUGAUCUCAUUAGCAUAUGUUGUUACACGAUGUCAGUAGGUGUUCCCUGAGGAGCUAUUCGUUCAGCUACUGAAACUGACAUGCAUCCAGAUGUUGAAAUACGGAUUAGAGGACACCACAUCUUUUCUAUUCUCCUAGUCCUAAGUUCAAACCAUAUUAGACAUUACAUAGUCAACCAUACAAAGAGAUAGAAAGCCAACAGCUCAUCUAUAUUUGUGUCAAUUCCGUCUCUACUUGAGAAGCUUCGGAAGGAAAAGGAUGGAAUUAAGUUAAAGGAUGGGUAUAGUAUUCAAGAUAGAGAGACAAUGGUUAGGAGGAACACAAGCAGGGUUGGGCCCUACAAAAUUCACCAAAGUUUAAAAAAUUUAGUAUUGUGAUUGAUUGCAGGGUUGUAUCAGUUGGUAAAUUGAAUGAUGGUGUAAGAACAUUAUGGAUUCCAGUGAUGUCACGUUCUUAUUCUA